AUUUUUUUUUCUUUCAUUAGUACCAUGGAGGAACAAAUUUUGGACGGACGGCUGCUGGUCUCUUCAUUGCCACUAGCUAUGAUUAUGAUGCUCCAAUUGACGAAUAUGGAUUACAAAGGGAACCAAAAUGGGGACAUUUGAGAGACUUGCAUAAAGCCAUCAAGCUAUGUGAACCGGCUUUAGUUUCUACAUAUCCUACAGUGACUUGGCCGGGCAAUAAUCUCCAGGUUCAUGUAUUUAACUCAAAGUCUGGUUGUGCUGCAUUCCUUACAAACUACGACACAAAAUCUUCAGCAAUAGUGACCUUCCAAAAUAUGUGAUAUGACCUCCCUCCUUGGUCCGUCAGCAUUCUCCCCGAUUGCAAGAAUGCGGUUUUCAACACCGCAAGGAUAAGCUCCCAAAGUUCAUAGAUGAAGAUGGUACCUGUAAUUAGUGGAGCAUUCUGGGAGUCAUACAUCGAAGAAACUGUCUCUGCCGAUGAUUCAGACACGGUUGCAAUGGAUGGACUAUGGGAGCAAAUAAACGUGACCAGAGAUGCCUCAAACUAUUUGUGGUACCUCACAGACCACCGAAAUUGAAGUUGGGUUGAUGUUUAUCAGUUUGAUAUAGAGGAAUUAACGAUGUUGACAUGCCCAAUAGCCACUGCACCCACUUCGCCUUUCCUCUUUGCCGGUAUGUAAGCACUACUUCCUCAAAUGGCUCUUCUUAAAA
Molecule: non-coding RNA, 711 nt
Organism: Camellia sinensis
Lineage: Eukaryota; Viridiplantae; Streptophyta; Magnoliopsida; Ericales; Theaceae
Source: RefSeq, a predicted model, not a curated record